AGAAAAUUGACUGAGUGGAUUAAGGUGGUAAGCUUGAAACUUAUUUGAUUAUAAUAAUUACAUCCGUUCGAAUCGGAUAUUUUCUG
This 86-nucleotide transfer RNA is filed under the name Leptogium hirsutum. RNAcentral describes it as "tRNA-Ser". It matches the Rfam family "tRNA". From Rfam's summary of the family: Transfer RNA (tRNA) molecules are approximately 80 nucleotides in length. Their secondary structure includes four short double-helical elements and three loops (D, anti-codon, and T loops). The record is from RNAcentral. Lineage: Eukaryota; Fungi; Ascomycota; Lecanoromycetes; Peltigerales; Collemataceae.